UUUACCUUCAACAUCCCCAAUUUAGUUUUCGUAUCCAUUCACUCGUUCAAAAACUAAUAUCCAUGAUGUAUAUACAAAGGCGGCGCUAUAGGCCUCCUUCAAUAUGGGUGGGUAGGGGGGGGGUGAGGUAUAGUUUUACCGAGUCAUUAGUUUUGGCUGUAUUAGUCUAUGUUAGACUCUAUAUGGGUGGGGGUACAGGGGCAUGCUCCUCCGGAAGCAUUUUGAAGUCUAGAGUCUCUGAAAUGCAUGUUUACAAUACUUCAACGAAUCUGAUCUUAACUACCCACAACAACUGUUCCCAGCCAUGUCCACUGUCAAAAACCAACUCAUUUGCAUUUAUAUUGGCUGUUGGGCUGUUUUGAGUUUUUAAAUUAGCUACCAAUCAGUUUAAAUCACCGGACUUUUUGAAGUAUUAAGUAGUAUAUUUAAAUUCACGGUUUGGUUUUAAUUCAGAUAAUUCAAUUCGGUCCAUAUCUAAACAGCUCAAUUUUUGCCGAAUUUGCCGACUCAUUCAUGAAUGUAGGGGAGGGGGUGUUUCAUCCUCCCA
Molecule: non-coding RNA, 547 nt
Organism: Paramuricea clavata
Lineage: Eukaryota; Metazoa; Cnidaria; Anthozoa; Malacalcyonacea; Plexauridae
Source: the annotation of a GenBank genome assembly